GAAGCUGUCCUAUUCUCAAACUGGGAAACUGGAAUCACCUGAUUUGAAAGUGGGAUAACUUCUUCAUCCCAACUCCUAUGAGAUUUAUUCAACUUCCUGGUGAUUCUCCAACACUUUAUGUAUCCAAAUCAAGCUUCUUACAAAGUGAUUCAUCCUGGUUUGAUUCUGUCCUAUUCCCAAACUGCGAAUCUGGAAUCACAUGAUUUGAAAGUGGAUAACGUCUUUAUCCCAUCGCUUAUGAGAUUUAUUCAACUUCCUGGUGAUUCUCCACCGCUUUAUGUAUCCAAAUAAAGAUUCUUACAACGUGAUUCAUCCUGGUUUGAUUGGAAUGAUGAAGAAGCUGUCCUAUUCCCAAACUGCAAAACUGGAAUCACCUGAUUUGAAAGUGGGAUAACUUCUUCAUCCCAACUCCUAUGAGAUUUAUUCAACUUCCUGGUGAUUCUCCAACACUUUAUGUAUCCAAAUGAAGCUUCUUUCAAAGUGAUUCAUCCUGGUUUGAUUGCAAAGACUAAGAAGCUGUCCUAUUCCCAAACUGCGAAACUGGAAUCACCUGAUUUGAAAGUGGGAUAACUUCUUCAUCCCAACUCCUAUGAGAUUUAUUCAACUUCCUGGUGAUUCUCCAACACUUUAUGUAUCCAAGUCAAGCUUCUUACAAAGUGAUUCAUCCUGGUUUGAUUAUGUCCUAUUCCCAAACUGCGAAUCUGGAAUCACAUGAUUUGAAAGUGGAUAACGUCUUCAUCCCAUCGCUUAUGAGAUUUAUUCAACUUCCUGGUGAUUCUCCACCGCUUUAUGUAUCUAAAUCAAGCUUCUUACAAAGUGAUUCAUCCUGGUUUGAUUAUGUCCUAUUCCCAAACUGCGAAACUGGAAUCACCUGAUCCUGGUGAUUCUCCAACACUUUAUGUAUCCAAGUCAAGCUUCUUACAAAGUGAUUCAUCCUGGUUUGAUUAUGUCCUAUUCCCAAACUGCGAAACUGGAAUCACCUGAUUUGAAAGUGGGAUAACUUCUUCAUCCCAGCUCCUAUAAGAUUUAUUCAACUUUUUGGUGAUUCUCCACCGCUUUAUGUAUCUAAAUCAAGCUUCUUACAAAGUGAUUCAUCCUGGUUUGAUUGGAACGACGCAGAAGCUGUCCUAUUCCCAAACUGGGACACUAGAAUCACCUGAUUUGAAAGUGGGAUAACUUCUUCAUCCCAGCUCCUAUGAAAUUUAUUCAACUUCUUGGUGAUUCUGCACCACUUUAUGUAUCCAAAUCAAGCUAUUUACAAAUUGAUUCAUCCUGGUUUGAUUGCAACGAUGCUAAAGCUGUCCUACUCCCAAACUGCGAAACUGGAAUCACUUGAUUUGAAAGUGGGAUAACUUCUCCAUCCCAGCUCCUAUGAGAUUUAUUCAACUUCCUGGCAAUUCUCCAACACUUUGUGUAUCUAAAUCAAGCUUCUUACAACGUGAUUCAUCCUGGUUUGAUUGGAACGACGCAGAAGCUGUCCUAUUCCCAAACUGAAAAACUGGAAUCACAAGAUUUGAAAGUGGAUAACGUCUUCAUCCUAACUCCUAUGAGAUUUAUUCAACUUCCUGGUGAUUCUCCAACACUUUAUGUAUCCAAAUCAAGCUUCUUACAAAGUGAUUCAUCCUGGUUUGAUUGGAACGACGAAGAAGCUGUCGUAUUCCCAAACUGCGAAACUGGAAUCACCUUAUUUGAAAGUGGGAUAACUUCUUCAUCCCAGCUCCUAUGAGAUUUAUUCAACUUUCAGGUGAUUCUCCACCACUUUAUGUAUCAAAAUCAGGCUUCUUACAAAGUGAUUCAUCCUGUUUGAUUGGAACGACGCAGAAGCUGUCCUAUUCCCAAACUCCGAAACUGGAAUCACUUGAUUUGAAAGUGGGAUAAUUUCUUUAUCCCAGCUCCUAUGAGAUUUUUUCAACUUCCUGGUGAUUCUCCACCGCUUCAUGUAUCCAAAUCUAGCUUCUUACAAAGUGAUUCAUCCUGGUUUGAUUGGAAUGAUGAAGAAGCUGUCCUAUUCCCAAACUGCAAAACUGAAAUCACCUGAUUUGAAAGUGGGAUAACUUCUUCAUCCCAAAUCCUAUGAGAUUUAUUCAACUCCCUGGUGAUUCUGGGAACUGAAAUUCGCACUGUCGAUUUCCGUUUAAAUUAGGAAACUAAGAAAACCCUAAUUUCCCAGAGGUCCCGGAUCUCUGCGAGAGCCAACGACAAGUGACCAAAUAUAUGUGGAAAUCGUGAAAAGAUAACAAACGGGUUUAGAGAAAACAGUAAAUCUUAUUUCGAAUCUGCGUAAGAGCGUUGCGAUCAUUACAAGAGAUCAUAAAAGCUUUGGCCGCAAAGGCUGUCAGCGAGUUACCUAGUUCUAGCGGCCUAAAAGCUCAAACCUAGUUAAGUCGCAGCUCGAUAACAAAAAACGUAAAAGAUACAAAAAAGGUUUUUGAUUGAUUUCAGACUGAACCUUGUUAAAUGCUGCCUACGUACCCCUUUCGAGGAUCAAGCCGAACGUAGUUCAAUUGAUAGAGCUGGAAAAGAGAUCGAACUGCCUGGGCGAGUUCGUCUAGUAAUUGAGUGCCAGCCAUAGAAACCGAACUUGUCGAGAAUAAAGCCUAAAGUUUCUAAGUGCAGAGAAUUCCGAGUCUAAAAAGCUCUCCCCCAUGCUCCUCGCCUAGGACUCCUUAUAUACUAGCUCCAAGGUCGGUUUACGCUUUUACUCUUCUGCCCUUAAGCCGUCAUAGCAUAAAACAAACGAACAUGAAGUCGAGAUAUAAUCUCUUUCCUUAACUCUAAAUAUUCGCUCCGUAGUGAGACGGUACUGUACUUGGCUUGAGCGCUACGUAGCGACCGAGCGAGACGGACGCUCGGUCGCUAUGUAGCGACCGAGCUUGGCUCGGGCUUGGUCGCUACGUAGCGACCAAGCUUGGCUUGAGCUGGGUCGCUACGUAGCGGCCGAGCUGUGUGCAUGCUUGGUCGCCGCGUAUCGAUUUAGCUUGGCUUGUCCGCGGUCUGAUUUCCAUACUCGAGCUUGUCCGCGGCCGAUUUGGAUACAUGUCCGUUGCCUUCGGACAAUCGGUAUUUAAUGGUUCGAUUGAGAUUUGGAUGAUAUUUUACUGCAAGGCUCUUCGUGAAGAUAUCUUUACGAAGAUUACUUUUCGUAAAAACGUUUAUGCUUAUUUUUACGGACUUUCAGACAUUGAUUCCGUCGUGACCGAUUUUGACCCCAACAGUGAUUCUCCACCACUUUAUGUAUCAAAAUCAAGAUUAUUACAAAGUGAUUCAUCCUGGCUUGAUUGGAGCGACAAAGAAGUUGUCCUAUUCCCAAACUGCGAAACUUGAAUCACCUGAUUUGAAAGUGGGAUAACUUCUUCAUCCCAGCUCCUAUGAGAUUUAUUCAACUUCCUGGUGAUUCUCCACCGCUUUAUGUAUCCAAAUCAAGCUUCUUACAAAGUGAUUCAUCCUGGUUUAAUUGGAACGACACAGAAGCUGUCCUAUUCCCAAACUGGGAAACUAGAGUCACCUGAUUUGAAAGUGGGAUAACUUCUUCAUCCCAGCUCCUGUGAGAUUAAUUCAACUUACUGUUAGAAAACAAGGAGUUCCAAUCACAAGUGAUCUUCUCUCCCAAAUGAAACUUGUAACAAAACUAGGUCUAGAAAAAGCUCUGUUUUUUUUGCCGUCAAAAACUCUAGGCAGUAUAUAUUCUACUAGGUUAAAAACUCGUCAGGGCAUUUUGGUAAUUUGGCUUGCCCUUGGUUUUUAAGUCUGCUGAAUCCAAAAUGUCGCGUCUGGUGUCUCGACAUCGAUCGACGGUACUUGUAUACAUCGAUCGAUAUUAAUCUUCAUCUGUCGAGGCAUUUCCUGAUAUCGAUCGUCAGCACUGAUACGCAGCGAUCGAUUACUCUUCCUCUCGUCGACCUCUAAGUAGUCAGCUCGGGUGAAAUGUCCUUUAAGCUCCAAAAUGCUCCAAAGUCAUAGCUUUACUCCGAAAUGCACCUGAACCUGAAAACAUACCUAGAAGAGUAGAAAACAUAGAUAUAUAUAUAUAUAGUAAAAUACUUAUAUACCAUGGAUAAAAAUGGGUCAAAUCCAAGGUAUAUCACUGUCGUAUUCCCAAACUAGCAAACUGGAAUCACCUGAUUUGAAAGUGGGAAAACUUCUUCAUCCCAACUCCUAUGAGAUUUAUUCAACUUCCUGGUGAUUCUCCACCACUUUAUGUAUCCAAAUCAAGAUUCUUACAAAGUGAUUCAUCCUGGUUUGAUUGGAAUGAUGAAGAAGCUGUCCUAUUCCCAAACUGCAAAACUGGAAUCACCUGAUUUGAAAGUGGGAUAACUUCUUCAUCCCAACUCCUAUGCGAUUUAUUCAACUUCCUGGUAAUUCUCCAACACUUUAUGUAUCCAAAUCAAGCUUCUUACAAACUUAUUCAUCCUGGUUUGAUUGCAACGACUAAGAAGCUGUCCUAUUCCCAAACUGCGAAACUGGAAAUACCUGAUUUGAAAGUGGGAUAACUUCUUAAUCCCAGCUCCUAUGUGAUUUAUUCAACUUCCUGGUGGUUCUCCACCACUUUAUGUAUCCAAAUCAAGAUUCUUACAAAGUGAUUCAUCCUGGUUUGAUUGGAAUGAUGAAGAAGCUGUCCUAUUCCCAAACUGCAAAACUGGAAUCACCUGAUUUGAAAGUGGGAUAACUUCUUCAUCCCAACUCCUAUGCGGUUUAUUCAACUUCCUGGUAAUUCUCCAACACUCUAUGUAUCCAAAUCAAGCUUCUUACAAACUUAUUCAUCCUGGUUUGAUUGCAACGACUAAGAAGCUGUCCUAUUCCCAAACUGCGAAACUGGAAAUACCUGAUUUGAAAGUGGGAUAACUUCUUAAUCCCAGCUCCUAUGUGAUUUAUUCAACUUCCUGGUGGUUCUCCACCACUUUAUGUAUCCAAAUCAAGAUUCUUACAAAGUGAUUCAUCCUGGUUUGAUUGGAACGACGAAGAAGAUGUCCUAUUCUCUAACUGGAAAACUGGAAUCACCUGAUUUGAAAAUGGGAUAACUUCUUCAUCCCAACUCCUAUGAGAUUUAUUCAACUUCCUGGUGAUUCUCCAAUACUUUAUGUAUCCAAAUCAAGCUUCUUACAAAGUGAUUCAUCUUGGUUUGAUUGAAACGACUAAGAAGCUGUCCUAUUACCAAACUGCGAAACUGAUAUCACCUGAUUUGAAAGUUGGAUAACUUCUUCAUCCCAACUCCUAUGAGAUUUAUUCAACUUCCUGGUGAUUAUCCACCACUUUAUGUAUCCAAAUCAAUAUUCUUACAAAGUGAUUCAUCCUGGUUUGUUUGCAACGACUAAGAAGCUGUCCAAUUUUCAAACUGCAAAACUGGUGUCACCUUAUUUGAAAGUGGGAUAACUUCUUCAUCCCAACUCCUAUAAGAUUAAUUCAACCACCACUUUAUAUAUCCAAAUCAAGAUUCUUACAAAGUGAUUUAUCCUGGUUUGAUUGGAACGACGAAGAAGAUGUCAUAUUCCCAAACUGGGAAACUGGAAUCACCUGAUUUGAAAGUGGGAUAACUUCUUCAUCCCAGCUCUUAUGAGAUUUAUUCAACUUCCUCGUGAUUCUCCAACACUUUAUGAAUCUAAAUCAGGCUUCUUACAAAGUGAUUCAUCCUGGUUUGAUUGGAACGACGAAGAAGCUGUCCUAUUCCCAAACUGCGAAACUCGAAUCACCUGAUUUGAAAGUGGGAUAACUUCUUCAUCCCUGCUCCUAUGAGAUUUAUUCAACUUCCUGGUGAUUAUCCAACACUUUAUGUAUCCAAUUCAAGCUUCUUACAAAGUGAUUCAUCCUGGUUUGAUUGGAACGACGAAGAAGAUGUCCUAUUCCCAAACUAGCAAACUGGAAUCACCUGAUUUGAAAAAGUGGGAUAACUUCUUUAUCCUAAGUCCUAUGAGUUUUAUUCAAAUUCCUGGUGAUUCUCCACCAAUUUAUGUAUCCAAAUCAAGAUUCAUACAAAGUUGUUCAUCCUGGUUUGAUUGGAAUGAUGAAGAAGCUGUCCUAUUCCCAAACUGCAAAACUGGAAUAUCACCUGAUUUGAAAGUGGGAUAACUUCUUCAUCCCAACUCCUAUGCGAUUUAUUCAACUUCCUUGUUAUUCUCCAACACUUUAUGUAUCCAAAUCAAGCUUCUUACAAACUUAUUUAUCCUGGUUUGAUUGCAACGACUAAGAAGCUGUCCUAUUCCCAAACUGUGAAACUGGAAAUACCUGAUUUGAAUGUGGGAUAACUUUUUCAUCCCAGCUCCUAUGUGAUUUAUUCAACUUCCUGGUGGUUCUCCACCACUUUAUGUAUCCAAAUCAAGAUUCUUACUAAGUGAUUCAUCCUGGUUUGAUUGGAACGACGAAGAAGCUGUCCUAUUCCCAAACUGCGAAGCUGGAAUCACCUGAUUUGAAAGUGGGAUAACUUCUACAUCCCAGCUCUUAUGAGAUUUAUUCAACUUCCUAGUGAUUCUCCACCACUUUAUGUAUCCAAAUCAAGCUUGUUAGAAACUGUAUUCAACUUCCUAGUGAUUCUCCACCACUUUAUGUAUCCAAAUCAAGCUUCUUACAAAGUGAUUAAUCCUGGCUUGAUUGGAACGACAAAGAAGCUGUCCUAUUCCCAAACUGCGAAGCUGGAAUCACCUGAUUUGAAAGUGGGAUAACUUCUUCAUCCCAGCUCUUAUGAGAUUUAUUCAACUUCCUAGUGAUUCUCCAAAACUUUAUGUAUCUAAAUCAGGCUUCUUACAAAAUGAUUCAUCCUGGUUUGAUUGGAACAACGAAGAUACUGUCCUAUUCCCAAACUGUGAAACUGGAAUCACCUGAUUUGAAUGUGGGAUAACUUCUUCAUCCCUGCUCCUAUGAGAUUUAUUCAACUUCCUGGUGAUUAUCCAACACUUUAUGUAUCCAAAUCAAGCUUCUUACAAAGUGAUUCAUCCUGGUUUAAUUGGAACGACGAAGAAGAUGUCCUAUUCCCAAACUGGGAAACUAGAAUCACCUGAUUUGAAAGUGGGAUAACUUCUUCAUCCCAACUCCGUGGAAUCACUUGAUUUGAAAGUGGGAUAACUUCUUUAUCCUAAGUCCUAUGAGAUUUAUUCAAAUUCCUGGUGAUUCUUCACCAAUUUAUGUAUCCAAAUCAAGAUUCUUACAAAGUUAUUCAUCCUGGUUUGAUUGGAAUGAUGAAGAAGUUGUUCUAUUCUCAAACUGCAAAACUGGAAUCACCUGAUUUGAAAGUGGGGUAACUUCUUCAUCCCAACUCCUAUGCGGUUUAUUCAACUUCCUGGUAAUUCUCCAACACUUUAUGUAUCCAAAUCAAGCUUCUUACAAACUUAUUCAUCCUGGUUUGAUUGCAACGACUAAGAAGCUGUCCUAUUCCCAAACUGCGAAACUGGAAAUACCUGAUUUGAAAGUGGGAUAACUUCUUCAUCCCAGCUCCUAUGUGAUUUAUUCAACUUCCUGGUGGUUCUCCACCACUUUAUGUAUCCAAAUCAAGAUUCUUACAAAGUGAUUCAUCCUGGUUUGAUUGGAACGACGAAGAAGCUGUCCUAUUCCCAAACUGGGAAACUGCAAUCUCAUGAUUUAAAAGUGGGAUAACUUCUUCUUGCCAACUCCUAUGAGGUUUAUUCAAGUUCCUGGUGAUUCUCCACCACUUUAUGUAUCCAAAUCAAGAUUCUCACAAAGUGAUUCAUCCUUGUUUGAUUGGAACGAUGAAGAAGCUGUGCUAUUCCCAAACUAGGAAACUGGAAUCACCUUAUUUGAAAGUGGGAUAACUUCUUCAUCCCAACUCCUAUGAGAUUUAUUCAACUUGCUGGUGAUUCUCCACCACUUUAUGUAUCCAAUUCAAGCUUCUCACAAAGUGAUUCAUCCUGGUUUGAUUGGAACGACGAAGAAGCUGUCCUAUUCCCAAACUGGGAAACUGGAAUCACCUUAAUUGAAAGUGGGAUAACUUCUUCAUCCCAACUCCUAUGAGAUUUAUUCAACUUCCUGGUGAUUCUCCACCAUUUUAUGUAUCGAAAUCAAGCUUCUGACAAAGUGAUUCAUCCUGGUUUUAUUGGAACGACGAAGAAGCUGUUCCCAAACUGGGAAUCUGGAAUCACAUGAUUUGAAAGUGGGAUAACUUCUUCAUCCCAACUCUUAUGAGAUUUAUUCAACUUCCUGAUGAUUCUCCACCACUUUAUGUAUCCAAAUCAAACUUCUCAUAAAGUAUUUCAUCCUGGUUUGAUUGGAACGACGAAGAAGCUGUGAUAUUCCACAACUGGGAAACUGGAAUCACCUGAUUUGAAAGUGGGAUAACUUCUUCAUCCCAACUCCUAUGAGAUUUAUUCAACUUGCUGGUGAUUCUCCACCACUUUAUGUAUCCAAAUCAAGCUUCUGACAAAGUGAUUAAUCCUAUUUUGAUUGGAACGACGAAGAAGCUGUGCUAUUCACAAACUGGGAAACUGGAAUCACUUUAAUUGAAAGUGGGAUAACUUCUUCAUCCCAACUCCUAUGAGAUUUAUUCAACUUCCUGGUGAUUCUCGACCACUUUAUCAAUCCAAUUCAAGCUUCUCACAAAGUGAUUCAUCCUGGUUUGCAUGGAACGACGAAGAAGCUGUCCUAUUCCCAAACUGGGAAACUGGAAUCACCUUAUUUGAAAGUGGGAAAACUUCUUCAUCCCAACUCCUAUGAGCUUUAUUCAAGUUCCUGGUGAUUCUCCACCACUUUAUGUAUCCAAAUCAAGCUUCACACAAAGUGAUUCUUCCUGGUUUGAUUGGAACGGAAGAAGCCGUGCUAUUCCCAAACUGGGAAACUGGAAUCACAUGAUUUGAAAGUGGGAUAACUUCUUGUUGCCAACUCCUAUGAGGUUUAUUCAAGUUCCUGGUGAUUCUCAACCACUUUAUGUAUGCAAAUCAAGCUUCUCACAAAUUGAUUCAUCCUUGUUUGAUUGGAACGACGAAGAAGCUGUGCUAUUCCCAAACUGGGAAACUGGAUUCACCUGAUUUGAAAGUGGGAUAACUUGUUCAUCCCAACUACUAUGAGAUUUAUUCAACUUCCAGGUGAUUCUCCACCACUUUAUGUAUCCAAAUAAAGCUUCUCACAAAGUGAUUCAUCCUGGUUUGAUUGGAACAACGAAGAAGCUGUCUUAUUCCCAAACUGGGAAACUGGAAUCACCUGAUUUGAAAGUGGGAUAACUUCUUCAUCCCAACUCCUAUGAGAUUUAUUCAACUUCAUGGUGAUUCUCCACCACUUUAUGUAUCGAAAUCAAGCUUCUGACAAUGUGAUUCAUCCUGGUUUGAUUGGAACGACGAAGAAGAUGUGCUAUUCCCAAACUGGGAAUCUGGAAUCACAUGAUUUGAAAGUGGGAUAACUUUUUCUUGCCAACUCCUAUGAGGUUUAUUCAAGUUCCUGGUGAUUCUCCACCACUUUAUGUAUCCAAAUAAAGCUUCUGACAAAGUGAUUAAUCCUGGUUUGAUUGGAACGACGAAGAAGCUCUGCUAUUACCAAACUGGGAAACUGGAAUCACAUGAUUUGAAAGUUGGAUAACUUCUUCUUGCGAACUCCUAUGAGAUUUAUUCAACUUCCUGGUGAUUAUCCACCACUUUAUGUAUCCAAUUCAAGCUUCUCACAAAGUGAUUCAUCCUGGUUUGAUUGGAACGACGAAGAAGCUGUGCUAUUCCCAAACAGGGAAACUGGAAUCACAUGAUUUGAAAGUUGGAUAACUUCUUCUUGCGAACUCCUAUGAGAUUUAUUCAACUUGCUGGUGAUUCUCCACCACUUUAUGUAUCGAAAUCAAGCUUCUGACAAAGUGAUUCAUCUUGGUUUGAUUGGAACGACGAAGAAGCUGUGCUAUUCCCAAACUGGGAAACUGGAAUCACCUGAUUUCAAAGUGGGAUAACUUCUUCAUCCCAACUCCUAUGAGAUUUAUUCAACUUCCUGGUGAUUCUCCACCACUUUAUGUAUCCAAUUCAAGCUUCUCACAAAGUGACUCAUCCUGGUUUGAUUAGAACGACGAAGCUGUCCUAUUCCCAAACUGGGAAACUGGAAUCACUUUAAUUGAAAGUGGGAUAACUUCUUCAUCCCAACUCCUAUGAGAUUUAAUCAACUUCCUGGUGAUUCUCCACCACUUUAUGUAUCGAAAUCAAGCUUCUGACAAAGUGAUUAAUCCUAGUUUAAUUAGAAUGACGAGGAAGUUAUCAUAUUCCCAUACAGGAAAACUGGAAUCACCUGAUUUGAAAGUGGGAUAACUUCUUCGAAUCUGGAAUCACAUGAUUUGAAAGUGGGAUAACUUAUUCUUGCCAAUUCCUAUGAGGUUUAUUCAAGUUCCUGGUGAUUCUCCACCACUUUAUGUAUUCAAAUCAAGCUUCUCACAAAGUGAUUCAUCCUGGUUUGAUUGGAACGACGAAGAAGCUGUGCUAUUCCCAAACAGGGAAACUGGAAUCACAUGAUUUGAAAGUGGGAUAACUUCUUCUUGCCAACUCCUUUGAGGUUUAUUCAAGUUCCUGGUGAUUCUCCACCACUUUAUGUAUCGAAAUCAAGAUUCUCACAAAGUGAUUCAUCUUUGUUUGAUUGGAACGACGAAGAAGCUGUGCUAUUCCCAAACUGGGAAACUAGAAUCACCUGAUUUGAAAGUCGGAUAACUUCUUCAUCCUGAAGGACGAGGAAGUUAUCAUAUUCCCAAACAUGAAAACUAGAAUCACCUGAUUUGAAAGUGGGAUAACU
This 10686-nucleotide long non-coding RNA is filed under the name Brassica napus (rape). RNAcentral describes it as "long non-coding RNA (BNAP_LNC004361)". Lineage: Eukaryota; Viridiplantae; Streptophyta; Magnoliopsida; Brassicales; Brassicaceae. The record is from RNAcentral.